GACGAACGCUGGCGGCGUGCCUAAUACAUGCAAGUCGAACGCAUUUUCUUUCACCGUAGCUUGCUACACCGAAAGAAAAUGAGUGGCGAACGGGUGAGUAACACGUGGGUAACCUGCCCAUCAGCGGGGGAUAACACUUGGAAACAGGUGCUAAUACCGCAUAAUUCCAUUUACUGCAUGGUAGAUGGAUGAAAGGCGCUUUUGCGUCACUGAUGGAUGGACCCGCGGUGCAUUAGCUAGUUGGUGGGGUAACGGCCUACCAAGGCUGCGAUGCAUAGCCGACCUGAGAGGGUGAUCGGCCACACUGGGACUGAGACACGGCCCAGACUCCUACGGGAGGCAGCAGUAGGGAAUCUUCGGCAAUGGACGCAAGUCUGACCGAGCAACGCCGCGUGAGUGAAGAAGGGUUUCGGAUCGUAAAACUCUGUUGUUAGGAAAGAACAAGGAUGAGAGUGGAAAGUUCAUCCCUUGACGGUAUCUAACCAGAAAGCCACGGCUAACUACGUG
RNAcentral lists this ribosomal RNA (507 nucleotides) under uncultured bacterium. RNAcentral describes it as "partial 16S ribosomal RNA". It matches the Rfam family "Bacterial small subunit ribosomal RNA", at positions 28 to 507 of the family's 1533-position model. The record is from RNAcentral.